UACGGGGGGAGCAAGCGUUGUUCGGAUUUACUGGGCGUAAAGCGCACGUAGGCGGACUUUCAAGUCAGGGGUGAAAUCCCGGGGCUCAACCUCGGAAUUGCCUUUGAUACUGUAAGUCUCGAGUCCGGAAGAGGUGGGUGGAAUUCCUAGUGUAGAGGUGAAAUUCGUAGAUAUUAGGAAGAACACCGGUGGCGAAGGCGGCCCACUGGUCCGGUACUGACGCUGAGAUGCGAAAGCGUGGGGAGCAAACAGG
RNAcentral lists this ribosomal RNA (253 nucleotides) under uncultured bacterium. RNAcentral's name for it is "partial 16S ribosomal RNA". It matches the Rfam family "Bacterial small subunit ribosomal RNA", at positions 524 to 776 of the family's 1533-position model. The record is from RNAcentral.